This 244-nucleotide ribosomal RNA is filed under the name uncultured bacterium. RNAcentral describes it as "partial small subunit ribosomal RNA". It matches the Rfam family "Bacterial small subunit ribosomal RNA", at positions 26 to 285 of the family's 1533-position model. The record is from RNAcentral.
AGAAUCAACGCUGGCGGCGUGCCUAACACAUGCAAGUCGCACGAGAAAGGGACUUCGGUCCUGAGUACAGUGGCGCACGGGUGAGUAACACGUGAAUAAUCUACCUCCGAGUGGGGAAUAACUGAGAGAAAUCUUAGCUAAUACCGCAUAACACUUACGAGUCAAAGCAGCAAUGCGCUUGGAGAGGAGUUCGCGGCAGAUUAGUAGUUGGCGGGGUAAUGGCCCACCAAGACGAUGAUCUGUA